Molecule: ribosomal RNA, 480 nt
Filed under: uncultured bacterium
Lineage: Bacteria
Description: partial 16S ribosomal RNA
Rfam family: Bacterial small subunit ribosomal RNA
Source: RNAcentral
GACGAACGCUGGCGGCGUGCUUAACACAUGCAAGUCGAACGAUGAAGAAAAGAAUUGAAGCUUCGGCAGAAAUUCAUUUCGGAUUAGUGGCAGACGGGUGAGUAACGCGUGAGCAACCUACCUCUUACAAAGGGAUAGCCUCGGGAAACCGGGAUUUAUACCAUCUCACAUUGCGACGAAGCAUUUCGAUGCAAUCAAAGCUACGGCGGUAAGAGAUGGGCUCGCGUCCCAUUAACCAGAUGGUGAGGUAACGGCGCACCAUAGUAACGAUGGGUAACCGGGAUGAGAGGGUGGACGGUCACACUGGAACUGAGACACGGUCCAGACUCCUACGGGAGGCAGCAGUGGGGGAUAUUGCAAAAUGGAGGGAACUCUGAUGCAGCGACGCCGCGUGAGUGAUGAAGGAAUUCGUUUCGUAAAACUCUGUUCUAUGGGAAGAAAAGGACUGUACCAUAGGAGAAAGCUCCGGCUAAAUACGUG